GGAUUAGGCAUCGCAAGUCGAGCGAAAAAGGCAUUUCGGUGCUGAGUAAAGCGGCGAAAGGGUGAGCAAUGCAUGGAUAACCUACCCUGAGAGGGGACAACGCCUGGAAACGGGUGCUAAUACCCCAUGAGACCACGGGCCACAAGGUCUGCGGUUAAAGUUGGCCUCUACAUGUAAGCUUUCGCUCGGGGAGGGGUUCAUGUCCUAUCAGCUAGUUGGUGGGGUAACGGCCUACCAAGGCGAUGACGGGUAGCCGGGCUGAGAGGUUGUUCGGCCACACUGGGACUGAGACACUGCCCAGACUCCUCCGGGAGGCUGCAGUCGAGGAUCUUUCGCAAUGCGCGCAAGCGUGACGGAGCGACGCCGCGUGGACGAUGAAGGCCUUCGGGUUGUAAAGUCCAAUCGCGGGGGAAGAAUCGGUGGAGGGAAACACCCUGUCACCGUGACGUUACCCCGGUCGAAGCGCCUGCUAAUCACGUGCCAGCAGCAGCGGUAAUACGUGAGGCGCAAGCGUUGUUCGGAAUCACUGGGCAUAAAGGGCGCGUAGGCGGUGUCGUAAGUCGGAUGUGAAAGCCCCCGGCUCAACCGGGGAAUUGCAUCCGAAACUGCGGCGCUAGAGUGUGGUAGGGGGGAGCGGAAUUCCUGGUGGAGCGGUGAAAUGCGUAGAUAUCAGGAGGAACGCCGGUGGCGAAGGCGGCUCCCUGGACCAUAACUGACGCUGAGUGCGCGAAAGCUAGGGGAGCAAACAGGAUUAGAUACCCUGGUAGUCCUAGCCCUAAACGAUGGGCACUAAGUAGAGGGGUUUU
This 806-nucleotide ribosomal RNA is filed under the name uncultured bacterium. Its description in RNAcentral is "bacterial SSU rRNA". It matches the Rfam family "Bacterial small subunit ribosomal RNA", at positions 46 to 832 of the family's 1533-position model. The record is from RNAcentral.